RNAcentral lists this ribosomal RNA (363 nucleotides) under Gerosis sinica. RNAcentral describes it as "SSU rRNA". It matches the Rfam family "Eukaryotic small subunit ribosomal RNA", at positions 1162 to 1514 of the family's 1831-position model. Lineage: Eukaryota; Metazoa; Arthropoda; Insecta; Lepidoptera; Hesperiidae. The record is from RNAcentral.
GGGCACCACCAGGGGGUGCUGCUGCGGCUUAUUUGACUCAACACGGGAAAUCUCACCAGGCCCGGACACCGGAAGGAUUGACAGAUUAACAGCUCUUUCUUGAUUCGGUGGGUGGUGGUGCAUGGCCGUUCUUAGUUGGUGGAGCGAUUUGUCUGGUUAAUUCCGGUAACGAACGAGACUCUAGCCUGCUAAAUAGGCGUCGUCAUUUAGGUGUGCUCGGCUUCGGUCGUGCAACUCACUGGCGACGUAUUAAAAUUCUUCUUAGAGGGACCGGUGGCUUCGAGCCACACGAGAUUGAGCAAUAACAGGUCUGUGAUGCCCUUAGAUGUCCUGGGCCGCACGCGCGCUACACUGAAGGAAUCA